UUACGGCCACAUUAUGUUGAAACACCACUUCCCAUAUGAUAACCAAAGUGAAGCAACAUCAAGCCUAGCCAGUAUUUAGAUGGGUGACCACUUGGAAAUACCAGGUGCU
This is a non-coding RNA of Acanthosepion pharaonis, 109 nucleotides long. The record is from the annotation of a GenBank genome assembly. Lineage: Eukaryota; Metazoa; Mollusca; Cephalopoda; Sepiida; Sepiidae.